UACGAAGGGGGCUAGCGUUGCUCGGAAUCACUGGGCGUAAAGCUCACGUAGGCGGAUUGCUAAGUCAGGGGUGAAAUCCUGGAGCUCAACUCCAGAACUGCCUUUGAUACUGGCGAUCUUGAGUCCGGGAGAGGUGAGUGGAACUGCGAGUGUAGAGGUGAAAUUCGUAGAUAUUCGCAAGAACACCAGUGGCGAAGGCGGCUCACUGGCCCGGUACUGACGCUGAGACGCGAAAGCGUGGGGAGCGAACAGG
This 253-nucleotide ribosomal RNA is filed under the name uncultured bacterium. Its description in RNAcentral is "partial 16S ribosomal RNA". It matches the Rfam family "Bacterial small subunit ribosomal RNA", at positions 524 to 776 of the family's 1533-position model. The record is from RNAcentral.